AUAAGCGGAGGAAAAGAAACUAAUCAAGGAUUUUCCCUAGUAACUGCGAGUGAAGUGGGAAAAGCUCAAAUUUAAAAUCUGGCAGUCAUUUGGCUGUCCGAGUUGUAAUCUAGAGAAGUGUUGCCCGUGCUGGACCAUGUACAAGUCUCCUGGAAUGGAGCAUCACAGAGGGUGAGAAUCCUGUCUUUGACAUGGACUACCAGUGCUUUUUGUGGUAUGCUCUCAAAGAGUCGAGUUGUUUGGGAAUGCAGCUCAAAAUGGGUGGUAAAUGCCAUCUAAAGCUAAAUAUUGGCGAGAGACCGAUAGUGAACAAGUACCGUGAGGGAAAGAUGAAAAGAACUUUGGAAAGAGAGUUAAACAGUACGUGAAAUUGCUGAAAGGGAAACGCUUGAAGUCAGUCACGUUGACUUGGAAUCAGCUCUGCUUUUGCUGGGUGUACUUUCUUGUCAAUGGGUCAGCAUCAAUUUUGACCAUUGGAUAAGGUCGUUGGGAAUGUAGCAUCUUUUCAGAUGUGUUAUAGCCUGGCGAUGCAUACAGUGGCUGGGAUUGAGGAAUUCAGCACGCCACCAGGCCGGGUUUCGACCACGUUCGUGCUUAGGAUGCUGGCAUAAUGGCUUUAAUUGACCCGUCUUGAAACACGGACCAAGGAGUCUAACAUAUCUGCGAGUGUUUGGGUGGAAAACCCAUGUGCGUAAUGAAAGUGAAAGUUGAGAUCCCUUUUCUCAAGGGGAGCACCGACGCCCGGACCAGACCUUUUGUGACGGAUCCGCGGUAGAGCAUGUAUGUUGGGACCCGAAAGAUGGUGAACUAUGCCUGAAUAGGGUGAAGCCAGAGGAAACUCUGGUGGAGGCUCGUAGCGAUUCUGACGUGCAAAUCGAUCGUCAAAUUUGGGUCAUAGGGGCGAAAGACUAAUCGAACCAUCUAGUAGCUGGGUCCUG
Molecule: ribosomal RNA, 938 nt
Filed under: Pseudosperma sp.
Lineage: Eukaryota; Fungi; Basidiomycota; Agaricomycetes; Agaricales; Inocybaceae
Description: partial large subunit ribosomal RNA
Rfam family: Eukaryotic large subunit ribosomal RNA
Source: RNAcentral